GAUGAAGAACGUAGCGAAAUGUGAUACGUAGUGUGAAUUGCAGAAUUCAGUGAAUCAUCGAAUCUUUGAACGCACAUUGCACCUCUCGGUAUUCCGGGAGGUAUGCCUGUUCGAGCGUCGUUUGUACCCUCAAGCUCUGCUUGGUGUUGGGUGUUUGUUCCGCCUCUGUGUGUGAACUCGCCUCAAAACAAUUGGCAGCCGGCGUACUUGUUUCGGAGCGCAGCACAUUUUGCGAUCCAGAUCAACGUACAGCGGCAUCCAAGAAGCCUUAUUUAACGCUCUUGACCUCGGAUCAGGUAGGGAUACCCGCUGAACUUAAGCAUAUCAAUAAGCGGAGGA
Molecule: unclassified non-coding RNA, 339 nt
Filed under: soil metagenome
Description: partial contains 5.8S ribosomal RNA, internal transcribed spacer 2, and large subunit ribosomal RNA
Rfam family: 5.8S ribosomal RNA (bases 1-120)
Source: RNAcentral